GUGCAAAGGUAGCAUAAUAAUUUGUUUUUUUAUUGAAAACUGGAAUGAAUGAUUGGACAAGAAAAUUUCUGUCUCUUGCUUAUCUAUUGAAUUUUACUUUAAAGUUAAAAGGCUUUAAUUAUUAUUAGGGACGAGAAGACCCUAUAGAGUUUUAUUUAUUAUUAGGUAAAAGUUUUUAUAAUUUAUGUUUUGUUUACUAUUUAAAUUUGAUUGGGGUUGUUUCAAGAUAUAAUUAAUUCUUGAUUUUUAAUCAAAGAUUUUUGAUAAUGUGAGCUAGAUUAUUAAGUUUAAAUUAAAUUACCUUAGGGAUAACAGCGUAAUUUUUCUUUGAAGUUCUUAUUUAAAGAGAAGUUUGCGACCUCGAUGUUGGAUUAAGAUUAAUUAUUGGUGGAGGGACCAGUAGAUUGAGUCUGUUCGACUUUUAAAAUCUUACAUGAUCUGAGU
This 444-nucleotide ribosomal RNA is filed under the name Distremocephalus opaculus. RNAcentral describes it as "partial large subunit ribosomal RNA". It matches the Rfam family "Archaeal large subunit ribosomal RNA", at positions 2025 to 2679 of the family's 2987-position model. The record is from RNAcentral. Lineage: Eukaryota; Metazoa; Arthropoda; Insecta; Coleoptera; Phengodidae.